Molecule: transfer RNA, 74 nt
Organism: Kibdelosporangium phytohabitans
Lineage: Bacteria; Bacillati; Actinomycetota; Actinomycetes; Pseudonocardiales; Pseudonocardiaceae
Rfam family: tRNA
About the family: Transfer RNA (tRNA) molecules are approximately 80 nucleotides in length. Their secondary structure includes four short double-helical elements and three loops (D, anti-codon, and T loops).
Source: Rfam
GGGGCCGUAGCGCAGAGGUCGUCGCACCGUCUAGCCUAGACUGGAGGACGCCGGUUCGAUUCCGGCCGGCCCCA